CGAGCGGCGGCCAGCCAGCCCCUAGCCCGCCCCGCCCCUCAGCAGCCGCCUCUCAGCCGGGGGCUGCACACUGACCUGACGCGAACUUCGGUCGGGGGCCGCCAGCCUGGGCCACCUGUACAACGACAGCCUGCUCCGGGGCUUCCUGAGGAGGUGCCUGCCCGCCGAGGUUCAACAGCUUCCGAGAGCAGGACAUCUUUUCCUCUCAGCCUGGCGCUCUGCAAUGGAGGCCAUAAACAGGCCAGUAGUGAAAGCUACAGAACACGUGAGCAUGGCAGGGGCUGAGCUCCAUUUCAAGAUAUGGGUAAGAAGAGGGAUGCUGUUGCCUUGGAGCUGCCAGGCUGCAUGGCAGACAAGCAGGAUUCCUGCUGCCUCCCAUGGAGACUACACUGGAACGCAGGUCUUGCCCUGUCAUCCAGGCUGGAGUGCAAUAGAUCUUGGAUCACUGCAACCUCCACCUUCCAGGCUCAAGUGAUCCUCCUGCCUCAACCUCCCAAGUAUCUGGGACUACAGUUCGAGGAAAGAAGAAAACUUAUUAUUUAAGAGCGAUGCAAAAUGAAAGCCAAGGCCAAGGACUUACUUUCCCGGAUCUGGCAUCUGAGUGCACAGCAACCGCAGAGACUGAAAACUCCUCCGAAUAGAAUGAAUGUUUGCCAUCCCCAUAAACACAACUUCACAGUUUGGGUAAUACUCUGGAGAGAGUAACAAUAAAGAGAACACAAAUACGUUGAAUUUAAAGCCCACAUGGCCAAAUUUAAAAGCAAACUGGCUAUAAAACCCACUGCAGCUUCUGAUUAAUGAAACUGAAAUGUUUUGAAAUGCUUAACUAUUAGCCCAAUCCUUUAUAAUAAGAACACACUGAAUUUUAGGUAUCUUUUCAAAAAGGGUUUCUGAAAAGGUUAGAUUUGUAAAGAAGAUACUGACAUAAAAUAAAAGCUAUUAUUUUUUAAAAGAAA
Nomascus leucogenys (northern white-cheeked gibbon) is the source of this 956-nucleotide long non-coding RNA. RefSeq lists it as uncharacterized. NCBI's taxonomy places the organism in Eukaryota, Metazoa, Chordata, Mammalia, Primates, Hylobatidae. The record is from RefSeq and is a predicted model, not a curated record.